GUAGCUUAGAAUACGGGGAAUAUUCAGGGAAUUAUAGCAAGUAGCCAAGGAUAUGAGUUAAAAUGUCAAACAAAAAAAAAAAAUUACGGUUUCUCUUGUUUUCGUGGAAAACUAGCUGCAAGUGAUGCCACAAUGUGAAUAUAAUCAUAUGCUUAUAUGGUUGCUUGUGAAAGGAAAAUUGUAGUUUUCCAGGAAAAUAAAAAAGAAAUAUAUGCAAUAAGAAGAUGUAGAUGGCAACAAAGCCAGUUGACUUUUA
Molecule: unclassified non-coding RNA, 256 nt
Filed under: Hevea brasiliensis (rubber tree)
Lineage: Eukaryota; Viridiplantae; Streptophyta; Magnoliopsida; Malpighiales; Euphorbiaceae
Source: RNAcentral